GACAGUUCUCAGGUGACACACCCCGGAAUCGGGCUCCUUCCUCUCUGGUUCCAGGUGCAUCACCCUAGAACUGCA
This is a non-coding RNA of Myotis davidii, 75 nucleotides long. The record is from Rfam. Lineage: Eukaryota; Metazoa; Chordata; Mammalia; Chiroptera; Vespertilionidae.